This 510-nucleotide ribosomal RNA is filed under the name Triticum aestivum (bread wheat). RNAcentral's name for it is "partial small subunit ribosomal RNA". The record is from RNAcentral. Lineage: Eukaryota; Viridiplantae; Streptophyta; Magnoliopsida; Poales; Poaceae.
AUGAACCUGAAUUCCUGCACUAUCCAAGGUGACAGGAGCUCUUGCAAGUACAGCUGUUCUGGGCAAGAUGUGCAAAAUUCUCAGCAGCAGCACCCACCGGGUAUCACUGAAUCAAGGAAGCCGCUGCAAAAGAAUGGUAUGGUCGUUCUUGUCGCUCGGCGUGAAGAUCUGAACAGACUGGAUGCCCAAACCCCAAAACUGCUAUUCUGCACCUCGUCUUCCCCUGGCUCAAAACCAGAUAAUACCGUAUCUGCAACCCUGGGAGCUCACAGCGCGAGGAGUUCUGACUCCUUUUCUUCUUCUACCAACGAUUCAGAGGUGGAAUGGGCCGAGCCGUUCUCCACCUGGGGCUCCCGGGCGUAUACCUUCGAGCCAGGAGACGGCAGACGGGAGUCCGUCAUGUGGACGAAGCCAGGGACAGCCGCGCCGUUCGUGGAAUCUAUGGCCGCCUGCAGCUUUUUCAACUGGGACUUCAGGCAUAUGACUCGCCCCUUGUUCCAUUUUGGGUAA